GCCCUUUCGGCCUCGCUUUCCGUUUUUUGGCUUCAUCCCCUAGAUCUGCAAACAGUUCCUCGUGUUUCUUCCGUUAGCCGGGAAACGCGAACUGCAGCGUUUGGGACCCGGGUUUGCGCGUGUGGAAAGCAAAAGGGGUUACUCUGCUGGAGUUCGACAUUGCAAAUAAAGGUCUUUAUCCCCGGCGGUUCUACAAAAUUAGUUCUGCAGGGAUUCUGGUUGAAAGAAGCGUUAAAGUGGGCCUUGUAGGAGUCAGCAAUAAUCCAAUUUUACAUGGGUGCAGGUGGCUGCCUGUGUCUAG
Molecule: long non-coding RNA, 301 nt
Filed under: Homo sapiens (human)
Lineage: Eukaryota; Metazoa; Chordata; Mammalia; Primates; Hominidae
Description: LHRI_LNC429.1
Source: RNAcentral